CUCUUGCCUUCCACCUGCUGCUAUAUGAGGACACAGCAGCAAGGUGCCAUCUUGGAAGCAGAGAACAGCCCUCGCCAGACACCAAAAUUGGUGGCUUCAGAACCGUAAGAAGAAUGGUCACACUGUUUUCCAAAGUGACUGCACCAUUUCAUAUUUCUACCAGCAACAUCAUCAUCUUCCUUUUACAGAUGAAGAAACUCAUAUCAUGGAAAAGCAUGGAUGAAAUCCUCUGACCACCCUACAUUUAAAGGACCUUUAAAGAGAAAGAACUGACAGUUAGCUUGCUGCCGGUCCACUGAUGAUGCUCACCUGCAGGACUCAGCCCACCCAAUUUCUACCUGGAUCUUGUACUGGGGUGUGGGUGCCCCCCGCAGGAUUGCUUCCCCCAGGGGUCUGUGCUGAGGUACAAGAUCACCAGACUUACCUAGGGCAAAUGAAAGAAGUACAGCCAGGCAGGAUCUGAACUGUAUUGACCAGGGAAGUGAAAGUCAAAACUGUAGAGGUGGUUCCAAGCAUCAAGUUUGGUGAAGGAUGAGGUGAGAUGUCAACAGCAAGAUGCAUCAGCAGAGCAGAAGGAAGAAGGAAGCAGAACCCAAGGCAGCUUGAGGCAAGUUGACCAGAAGAGAGGAUAUGAAAUGGAUGGACGUGUCAGAGGUCCAUUUCUACUUGACGGAGACAAAUCCUCAAGGAGGUAGGAGGGAGCGGGUGGUUGGUAAACCAAUUCCUUCCAUAAGCAGCUGCAUCAACAGCUUCCAUCUUGCCCCUUGUUGGGUUUGGAGUUGAAUCAGGCUCCCAGUCCCAGAACUCGGGGGCAUGACUGUGGACUGUUUCAGCUCCCAUGAAGACCCUUGGACUCUCCUGGCUGCCAAGUAGAUCCAGGACUUUUCUACUGGAAGCAAGCUCUGAUAUUCAAAUCUUAGCUCUCCCAGUGCCUAAGUGGACCCAGGCCAUACGAUGGUCUUCUGUCUAAACAUCCCCUCUAAUUCUGAGCCUUUGUGCUUAGUGUCCAGCAACUCCAGCCAGCCUCAACAGGGCCCUCCUGUGAUACUCGACUUCCCCAUUCCCUGGGGACUGGAUUCUGCAUUUGAUGACCUGACUUCUGGGACGUGUCUUUCUGUAUAAUUUCAGGUUGAGAGUCUUUGGCUCUAUCUCAAUGACUCCUGAGUAAAUGGCAAGAAUUUCCUGCAACUGUUCCUCACUCUUCUGUUGGGCAGCUUCCAGAAUGGGAUAAAAUCAUUAUAUAGUCAUCUACAAGGCCUGAGUAUCCUCUCUGGCUGGCUUUUAA
This 1285-nucleotide long non-coding RNA is filed under the name Homo sapiens (human). RNAcentral's name for it is "HSALNT0370289". The record is from RNAcentral. Lineage: Eukaryota; Metazoa; Chordata; Mammalia; Primates; Hominidae.